UGGGGAAUAUUGCACAAUGGGCGCAAGCCUGAUGCAGCCAUGCCGCGUGUAUGAAGAAGGCCUUCGGGUUGUAAAGUACUUUCAGCGGGGAGGAAGGGAGUAAAGUUAAUACCUUUGCUCAUUGACGUUACCCGCAGAAGAAGCACCGGCUAACUCCGUGCCAGCAGCCGCGGUAAUACGGAGGGUGCAAGCGUUAAUCGGAAUUACUGGGCGUAAAGCGCACGCAGGCGGUUUGUUAAGUCAGAUGUGAAAUACCCGGGCUCAACCUGGGAACUGCAUCUGAUACUGGCAAGCUUGAGUCUCGUAGAGGGGGGUAGAAUUCCAGGUGUAGCGGUGAAAUGCGUAGAGAUCUGGAGGAAUACCGGUGGCGAAGGCGGCCCCCUGGACGAAGACUGACGCUCAGGUGCGAAAGCGUGGGGAGCAAACAGG
This 429-nucleotide ribosomal RNA is filed under the name Chloroflexota bacterium. RNAcentral describes it as "Chloroflexi bacterium partial 16S ribosomal RNA". It matches the Rfam family "Bacterial small subunit ribosomal RNA", at positions 355 to 776 of the family's 1533-position model. RNAcentral also lists the same sequence under 1 other name. Lineage: Bacteria; Bacillati; Chloroflexota. The record is from RNAcentral.